Molecule: ribosomal RNA, 444 nt
Filed under: uncultured soil bacterium
Lineage: Bacteria
Description: bacterial SSU rRNA
Rfam family: Bacterial small subunit ribosomal RNA
Source: RNAcentral
AGAACGAACGCUGGCGGCAUGCCUAAUACAUGCAAGUCGAACGAACUCUUCGGAGUUAGUGGCGCACGGGUGCGUAACGCGUGGGAAUCUGCCCCUUGGUUCGGAAUAACAGUUGGAAACGACUGCUAAUACCGGAUGAUGACGAAAGUCCAAAGAUUUAUCGCCAAGGGAUGAGCCCGCGUAGGAUUAGCUAGUUGGUGAGGUAAAGGCUCACCAAGGCAACGAUCCUUAGCUGGUCUGAGAGGAUGAUCAGCCACACUGGGACUGAGACACGGCCCAGACUCCUACGGGAGCAGCAGUAGGGAAUAUUGGACAAUGGGCGAAAGCCUGAUCCAGCAAUGCCGCGUGAGUGAUGAAGCCUUAGGUGUAAAGCUUCUUUACCCGAGAUGAUAAUGAACAGUAGUCGGAGAAUAAGCCCCGAUAACCUCCGCGCCAGCCAGCCGC